This 503-nucleotide ribosomal RNA is filed under the name uncultured bacterium. Its description in RNAcentral is "partial 16S ribosomal RNA". It matches the Rfam family "Bacterial small subunit ribosomal RNA", at positions 30 to 523 of the family's 1533-position model. The record is from RNAcentral.
AUUGAACGCUGGCGGCAGGCUUAACACAUGCAAGUCGAGCGGGGUGAUGGUGCUUGCACUAUCACUUAGCGGCGGACGGGUGAGUAAUGCUUAGGAAUCUGCCUAUUAGUGGGGGACAACAUCUCGAAAGGGAUGCUAAUACCGCAUACGUCCUACGGGAGAAAGCAGGGGAUCACUUGUGACCUUGCGCUAAUAGAUGAGCCUAAGUCGGAUUAGCUAGUUGGUGGGGUAAAGGCCUACCAAGGCGACGAUCUGUAGCGGGUCUGAGAGGAUGCUCCGCCACACUGGGACUGGGAAACGGCCCAGACUCCUACGGGAGGCAGCAGUGGGGAAUAUUGGACAAUGGGGGGAACCCUGAUCCAGCCAUGCCGCGUGUGUGAAGAAGGCCUUAUGGUUGUAAAGCACUUUAAGCGAGGAGGAGGCUCUUUUGGUUAAUACCCAAGAUGAGUGGACGUUACUCGCAGAAUAAGCACCGGCUAACUCUGUGCCAGCCGCCGCAGUAA